RNAcentral lists this transfer RNA (55 nucleotides) under Rhinebothrium megacanthophallus. Its description in RNAcentral is "tRNA-Arg". Lineage: Eukaryota; Metazoa; Platyhelminthes; Cestoda; Rhinebothriidea; Rhinebothriidae. The record is from RNAcentral.
GGCAUAAAUAAACUAUGUUACGGCCAUAGUAUUGGUGUAUUAACACUAUAUGCUU